RNAcentral lists this ribosomal RNA (469 nucleotides) under uncultured eukaryote. RNAcentral describes it as "SSU rRNA". It matches the Rfam family "Eukaryotic small subunit ribosomal RNA", at positions 586 to 1060 of the family's 1831-position model. The record is from RNAcentral.
CAGCUCCAAUAGCGUAUAUUAUGGUUGUUGCAGUUAAAAAGCUCGUAGUUGAACUUCAGACCUGGCUGGGCGGUCUGCCUAACGGUAUGUACUGUCCGGCUGGGUCUUACCUCUUGGUGAGCCGGCAUGCCCUUCACUGGGUGUGUCGGGGAACCAGGACUUUUACCUUGAGAAAAUUAGAGUGUUCAAAGCAGGCUUAUGCCCGAAUACAUUAGCAUGGAAUAAUAAAAUAGGACGUGCGGUUCUAUUUUGUUGGUUUCUAGAGUCGCCGUAAUGAUUAAUAGGGAUAGUUGGGGGCAUUAGUAUUCCGUUGCUAGAGGUGAAAUUCUUGGAUUUACGGAAGACUAACUAUUGCGAAAGCAUUUGCCAAGGAUGUUUUCAUUAAUCAAGAACGAAGGUUAGGGGAUCGAAAACGAUCAGAUACCGUUGUAGUCUUAACAGUAAACUAUGCCGACUAGGGAUCGGGCGA